This 519-nucleotide ribosomal RNA is filed under the name uncultured Glomeromycotina. Its description in RNAcentral is "SSU rRNA". It matches the Rfam family "Eukaryotic small subunit ribosomal RNA", at positions 569 to 1092 of the family's 1831-position model. Lineage: Eukaryota; Fungi; Glomeromycota. The record is from RNAcentral.
AGCAGCCGCGGUAAUUCCAGCUCCAAUAGCGUAUAUUAAAGUUGUUGCAGUUAAAAAGCUCGUAGUUGAAUUUCGGGGUUAGUAGAUUGGUCAUGCCUCUGGUAUGCACUGGUCUUACUGAUUCCUCCUUCCUGAUGAACCGUAAUGCCAUUAAUUUGGUGUUGCGGGGAAACUGGACUGUUACUUUGAAAAAUUGAGUGUUUAAAGCAGGCUAACGCUUGAAUACAUUAGCAUGGAAUAAUGAAAUAGGACGUUCGAUCUUAUUUUGUUGGUUUCUAGGAUUGACGUAAUGAUUAAUAGGGAUAGUUGGGGGCAUUAGUAUUCAAUUGUCAGAGGUGAAAUUCUUGGAUUUAUUGAAGACUAACUACUGCGAAAGCAUUUGCCAAGGAUGUUUUCAUUAAUCAAGAACGAAAGUUAGGGGAUCGAAGACGAUCAGAUACCGUCGUAGUCUUAACCAUAAACUAUGCCGACUAGGGAUCGGAUGAUGUUAAUUUUUAAUGACUCAUUCGGCGCCUUAAC